RNAcentral lists this long non-coding RNA (614 nucleotides) under Nicotiana tabacum (common tobacco). RNAcentral's name for it is "long non-coding RNA (NTAB_LNC015461)". Lineage: Eukaryota; Viridiplantae; Streptophyta; Magnoliopsida; Solanales; Solanaceae. The record is from RNAcentral.
AAAUACGCUGCUGAAAUUCGUGAUUCGGCUAAACAUGGUGCUAGAGUAUGGCUAGGCACUUUUGAAACAGCCGAAGAAGCUGCCAUAGCUUAUGAUAGAGCAGCCUUUAGAAUGCGUGGUGCUAAGGCACUCCUCAAUUUUCCGUCUGAAGUUGUCACAGCCUCUGCUUCAGUAGAUAGAUUACUACUACGUCCCCCAAGUUUGAGCUCAGAUAGUUACACUAAUUCCAACAAUUCAAAUUCUAGUUCAAAUGAAGUUUCAAGUGGGUUGAUUAAUACAUUUGAAUCAAGAAUUUCAACGGAAUUUUCUCAAGAUACUAAGACAGAGUAUAUGGAGAAUUUCUUGGCACUUUGAACCAAUUGCACGGUCGAUGUUAAGUUGUACUAGGAGUUAUAGUUUGUUCACACCUCGAGCAUAAUUUAGACGUGUUUGAUUGUCUCCGUAAUAUAUCUAUCUAGUUGUGUUUUACUUUCACAUUAUAUACUAGUCUUUCUUUUUAUUUUCUUCUUGAAUUGUUUACAACCAUCAUGCGCGCUUUAAUCAUGUAAUUCAUCUGUAAAAAGCUUGUAUCAGAUUUUAUUAGCGCUUCGUUUACAAAUUGUAAUUUGCACAUU